This 120-nucleotide ribosomal RNA is filed under the name Pteropus alecto (black flying fox). Lineage: Eukaryota; Metazoa; Chordata; Mammalia; Chiroptera; Pteropodidae. The record is from RNAcentral.
AUGUACAACCAUGCCACCCUGAACGUGCCGGAUCUCGUCUGAUCUCAGAAGCUAAGCCAGGGUUGGGCCUGGUUAGUACUUGGAUGAGAGACCGCCUAGGAGUACCAGGUGCUGUAGGCU